RNAcentral lists this ribosomal RNA (490 nucleotides) under uncultured bacterium. RNAcentral describes it as "partial 16S ribosomal RNA". It matches the Rfam family "Bacterial small subunit ribosomal RNA", at positions 30 to 507 of the family's 1533-position model. The record is from RNAcentral.
AUUGAACGCUGGCGGCAGGCCUAACACAUGCAAGUCGAACGGUAACAGGAAGAAGCUUGCUUCUUUGCUGACGAGUGGCGGACGGGUGAGUAAUGUCUGGGAAACUGCCUGAUGGAGGGGGAUAACUACUGGAAACGGUAGCUAAUACCGCAUAACGUCGCAAGACCAAAAAGGGGGACCUUCGGGCCUCUUGCCAUCGGAUGUGCCCAGAUGGGAUUAGCUAGUAGGUGGGGUAACGGCUCACCUAGGCGACGAUCCCUAGCUGGUCUGAGAGGAUGACCAGCCACACUGGAACUGAGCCACGGUCCAGACUCCUACGGGAGGCAGCAGUGGGGAAUAUUGCACAAUGGGCGCAAGCCUGAUGCAGCCAGGCCGCGUGUAUGAAGAAGGCCUUCGGGUUGUAAAGUACUUUCAGCGGGGAGGAAGGGAGUAAAGUUAAUACCUUUGCUCAUUGACGUUACCCGCAGAAGAAGCACCGGCUAACUCCGUG